GAACCAAGGCCUUCUGUCAGAGAACCGAGCAAGCGUCCCAGUCCUCGAAGGUGACUCUGCGGAAGAACAGCUUCCGACAGAAACUUCGGAACAGAUUCAAGAACUGUCGAAAGCCAUUGAGCAUUGAGCAACGCCGUCAUCGACACGGAAAGACGAGCCAGGGGCAUCGUUGUGAAAAAGCGUGCGGCAGCUGAAGAGGGGAUGCCGGGGUCGGGGAUGUUUCCCAAAACGAAGAAGUCGCAGCUAGACAUCUGCACCGAAACCGCCAAGUUCAGUGCCAAGCUAAAGCACGCCGAUGUCACUCACAAGACAUCUGUUCUCAAAGAUUCCUUCGAGGUUCGGCGGAUAUGCCUCACGAGCAACCGAAACCGGAAGACUGGCGAGGAGAUGAAGGAGAUAUUCCCGGAUAUGUACAGCGAAGCUGCCGUGUGGACUGACUUGGGAAUGAUCAUGGGGCUCGAGGAGGACGUGAAGGAGCAUGUCCUGC
Molecule: long non-coding RNA, 487 nt
Organism: Amphibalanus amphitrite
Lineage: Eukaryota; Metazoa; Arthropoda; Thecostraca; Balanomorpha; Balanidae
Exons: 3
Source: RefSeq, a predicted model, not a curated record